Molecule: ribosomal RNA, 511 nt
Filed under: uncultured bacterium
Lineage: Bacteria
Description: partial 16S ribosomal RNA
Rfam family: Bacterial small subunit ribosomal RNA
Source: RNAcentral
AUGGACGCUGGCGGCGUGCCUAAUCCAUGCCAGGUGAACGAAACUUCUCUAUCACCGUGUGCUUGCACCCACCGAUAAAGAGUUGAGUGGCGAACGGGUGAGUAACACGUGGGCAACCUGCCCAAAAGAGGGGGAGAACACUUGGAAACAGGGGUUAAUACCGCAUAACCAUAGUUACCGCAUGGUAACUAUGUAAAAGGUGGCUAGACUACCGCAUUUGGCUGGGCACGCGGCGCAUUAGCGAGUUGGUAGGGUAAAGGCUUACCAAGGCAAGGAGGCGUAGCCGAAACGAGGGGUUGAUCGACCAGAUGGGGACUGAGACAGAGCACAAACUCCGGCGGGGGGACGCGGUAGAGAAUCUUCCGCGAUGGGCGAAAGCCGGAUGGAGCAACACCGCGUAGGGGAAGAAGGUCUCCGGACCGUAGAACCCUGUUGUUAGUAAGAAAAGUGAGUGAGAGUAACUGUUCACGUAUCGACGGUACCCAGCCAGAAAGCCCCGGCUAACUACGUG